RNAcentral lists this long non-coding RNA (234 nucleotides) under Nicotiana benthamiana. RNAcentral describes it as "long non-coding RNA (NBEN_LNC026085)". The record is from RNAcentral. Lineage: Eukaryota; Viridiplantae; Streptophyta; Magnoliopsida; Solanales; Solanaceae.
AGGAGAUUGAUAAAAGAACCUGGCCGAAGUCAGUCUUGUGUUCAAUUCCGCGGUUGGAAGGAUUUCUUUCUGCCAUCUGUCUUUCCCUUCUCUCUCUUCUCUUAGCAAAGGUAGGUUCAAGUCAAACUUUUUUUUGGCUUGCGGGCUCGGGGACUGCAGUCAGCUGCUUCCCUUGUAGUCGUCAGCUCGUUCUUGACAGAUCCGAUCGGGUGUUCAUAAUCUGGAGUAAAAGGA